This 433-nucleotide ribosomal RNA is filed under the name uncultured bacterium. RNAcentral's name for it is "partial 16S ribosomal RNA". It matches the Rfam family "Bacterial small subunit ribosomal RNA", at positions 29 to 507 of the family's 1533-position model. The record is from RNAcentral.
AACGAACGCUGGCGGCAUGCCUAACACAUGCAAGUCGAACGAUACCUUCGGGUCUAGUGGCGCACGGGUGCGUCACGCGUGGGAACCUGCCCUUAGGUUCUGAAUAACUCCCCGAAAGGGGUUCUAAUGCCGGAUAAUUUCAUCUGCCCCACGAUUUAUCGCCUUUGGAUGGGCCCGCGUUGGAUUAGCUAGUUGGUAGGGUAAAAGCCUACCAAGGCGACGAUCCAUAGCUGGUCUGAGAGGAUGAUCAGCGACACUGGGACUGAGAGACGGCACAGACUCAGACGGAAGGCGGGAGAGGGGAAUAGAGGACAAGGGGGGAAAGGCUGAUCGAGGAAUGCCGCGCGAGAGAUGAAGGGGGUAGGGAGGUAAAGCUGGUUGAGAAGGGAUGGUAAUGACAGUACCGGGAGAAUAAGCUCAGGCUAACUCCGUG